UACGGGGGGGGCAAGCGUUGUUCGGAAUUACUGGGCGUAAAGGGCUCGUAGGCGGCCAACUAAGUCAGACGUGAAAUCCCUCGGCUUAACCGGGGAACUGCGUCUGAUACUGGAUGGCUUGAGAUUGGGAGAGGGAUGCGGAAUUCCUGGUGUAGCGGUGAAAUGCGCAGAUAUCAGGAGGAACACCGGUGGCGAAGGCGGCUCUCUGGACCGAGACUGACGCUGAGGCGCGAAAGCGUGGGGAGCAAACAGG
This 253-nucleotide ribosomal RNA is filed under the name uncultured bacterium. RNAcentral describes it as "partial 16S ribosomal RNA". It matches the Rfam family "Bacterial small subunit ribosomal RNA", at positions 524 to 776 of the family's 1533-position model. The record is from RNAcentral.